CCCAGUAUAGUGGUGGUGGUGAUGAGCCUGUGCAAGGUGUGACAGGCCCAUCACAGCCAGCGCUGCAGCCUCCGCUAUCUCAGACUGCGGUACACAGAUAAAGAAAAUGAAAUCUCAAGAAGUUAGGUCAUAGUCAAGAGGUAAGUGGAAGACCUGGGAUUUGAACUUAAGAACUCCGAGUCCAUUAUACUGCACAGUAUAGGAACUGCUAUAAAUGAUAGUUAAUAGAAUUAAGAAGGAAAGAUGGAGAAAAGAGCUAGACUAUAUAAAGUACUGAUAGAAGAAAUCUAUUCAGAAGGUUAUGGCUUUGAAGAUACUGAGGGACGGAUCCUCAAGAUGUCUAAAAGAGAAGAAGAUACCAAAUGCUUUGAAGACCUGGCUACAGAAUACAACUUCCACUCAGAUCUGACUAUUCUGCUUUUGAUGUUUACAGUGACUGCCAACAACCAACAGUCUUUUGGAUAAAUUACAUUUCAGCAAAUUCAAUUUAUUUCUCUUAUUAAAAAUAGUU
Molecule: non-coding RNA, 511 nt
Organism: Monodelphis domestica (gray short-tailed opossum)
Lineage: Eukaryota; Metazoa; Chordata; Mammalia; Didelphimorphia; Didelphidae
Source: RefSeq, a predicted model, not a curated record